This 445-nucleotide ribosomal RNA is filed under the name uncultured bacterium. RNAcentral's name for it is "partial 16S ribosomal RNA". It matches the Rfam family "Bacterial small subunit ribosomal RNA", at positions 354 to 796 of the family's 1533-position model. The record is from RNAcentral.
GUGAGGAAUAUUGGUCAAUGGGCGGGAGCCUGAACCAGCCAAGUCGCGUGAAGGAAGAAGGAUCUAUGGUUCGUAAACUUCUUUUGCAGGGGAAUAAAGUGCGGGACGUGUCCUGUUUUGUAUGUACCCUGAGAAUAAGGAUCGGCUAACUCCGUGCCAGCAGCCGCGGUAAUACGGAGGAUCCGAGCGUUAUCCGGAUUUAUUGGGUUUAAAGGGUGCGUAGGUGGUUUGAUAAGUCAGCGGUGAAAGUUUGCAGCUUAACUGUAAAAAUGCCGUGGAAACUGUCGGACUUGAGUGUAAAUGAGGUAGGCGGAAUGCGUGGUGUAGCGGUGAAAUGCAUAGAUAUCACGCAGAACUCCGAUUGCGAAGGCAGCUUACUAAGCUACAACUGACACUGAAGCACGAAAGCGUGGGGAUCAAACAGGAUUAGAAACCCGAGUAGUCC